GAUAAAACAAAAAAGGAAUGAUGUAAUAAAAUCUGAUUUUUUUUAUGAAAAUAAAAAAAAAUGAAAUCUCUAUCCCCACCUCCUUUUAAAGAAUCCAUCCAGGCCACCUCAAUCAAUGCACAUGGCCGCUCACCAUAAAAUCCUUUUCUACUACUUAUACCUUUCUGCUUUCUUCAUCCCCCCAGUAUACAUUUCUCUCUUUCUCUCUCAAUCUAUCUCUAUCUCUCUCUUAUCUAGUAUUUGAUAACAGUAUAUGUCGUAGAUUUCAUCAGAAAAGGGAAAAGAACGAGUUGAUGCAGAUCAUAAUUCAAGCAGAAAUAAAAUAGAAUGGUUCAAUAGCACUGUUCGAGUGCGAAAAUUCAUCAGAGUAGGUUCCAAAUUAUACAGAUAUGUGAAGGUUUUGAUUGUUUUUUUUCGAGAAUUUAUUAAGACUAUUUAUCUUGAAGCAGAAAAUAACGAAGGAGUUUAGAGAGAAGGUGAAAGAAAAAGAGAAAGAGAAGAAAGCCCGUCAAGACGCAGAGGCCAAACAAUUAGCUGCAGAAGGAAUAAACGUUGCGGCAGAGGCUGAGCCAGCAAUCCC
This 580-nucleotide long non-coding RNA is filed under the name Carica papaya (papaya). RNAcentral describes it as "long non-coding RNA (CPAP_LNC002711)". Lineage: Eukaryota; Viridiplantae; Streptophyta; Magnoliopsida; Brassicales; Caricaceae. The record is from RNAcentral.